Molecule: ribosomal RNA, 2258 nt
Filed under: human gut metagenome
Description: bacterial LSU rRNA
Rfam family: Bacterial large subunit ribosomal RNA
Source: RNAcentral
UAGUACUGUGAAGGAAAGGUGAAAAGGACCCCGGGAGGGGAGUGAAAGAGAACCUGAAACCUUGUGCCUACAAGCACAUAGAGCCCGUCAAAGGGUGAUAUGGUACUUUUUGUAGAACGGUCCGGCGAGCGAUUGUACGUUGCGAGCUUAAGGUCUUAAGGACUGGAGGCGUAGCGAGAGCGAGUCUAAACAGGGCGUUUAGUAGCGUGCAAUGGGCCCGAAACCGGGUGACCUACCCAUGAUCAGGCUGAAGUGAAAGUAAAAUUUCAUGGAGGGCCGAACCGACCUCCGUUGAAAAGGCGGCGGAUGAAUUGUGGGUAGCGGAGAAAUUCCAAUCGAACUCGGAGAUAGCUGGUUCUCCCCGAAAUAGCUUUAGGGCUAGCCUCAUGUUAGAUAUCCGGAGGUAAAGCACUGAAUGGCCUAGCGUCCGAGAGGAUAGCGAAGCCUAUCAAACUAAGAAUGCCGGAAUAUUGAUGCAUGGGAGUCAGACAGUGUGAGAUAAAUCUCAUUGUCAAAAGGGAAACAGCCCAGAUCUACAGCUAAGGUCCCAAAUUGUAUCUAAGUGGAAAACGAUGUGGAAAUACGCAGACAACCAGGAUGUUGGCUCAGAAGCAGCCACUCAUUUAAAGAGUGCGUAAUAGCUCACUGGUCGAGCGUCUCUGCGCGGAAAAUUUAACGGGGCUAAGAUACAAACCGAAGCUUAGGCUGCACGAAAGUGCGGGGUAGGGGAGCGUUGUGUAAGCGGAGAAACAGUAGCGUAAGCGGCUGUGGAGUUUACAGAAGUGAGAAUGCCGGAAUGAGUAGCGCGAAUGAUGUGAGAAUCAUCAUGGCCGGAAACCUCAGGUUUUUGGAGGAAGGUUCGUCCGCUCCAAGUUAGGCGGGAGCUAAGGUGAGGCCGAAAGGCGUAGCCGAUGCACAGACGGUAGAGAUUCCGUCCCCACCGAAAGAUUUAAGCGCAGGGACACUUUUAGAAGGUCGGAGCCAGGUGUUGGUUCUGGUAGAGAUCGAGGGAAAUUUAGUACCGAAGUCCGGCUGGAUAAGAGGCGAGAAAAGCUGCGUGUAUAUCUAAGGUGCCCGUACCGCAAACCGACACAGGUAGGUAGGAAGAAGAUUCUAAGGCCAACGGGAGAAGGGUUGUUAAGGAACUCGGCAAGUUGACCCCGUAACUUCGGAAUAAGGGGUGCUCAUGAAAGUGAGCCGCAGAGAAUAGGCCCAGGCAACUGUUUACCAAAAACACAGGUUUGUGCUAAAUCGAAAGAUGACGUAUACGAGCUGACGCCUGCCCGGUGCUGGAAGGUUAAGAGGAGAUGUGCAAGCAUUGAAUCGAAGCCCCAGUGAACGGCGGCCGUAACUAUAACGGUCCUAAGGUAGCGAAAUUCCUUGUCAGGUAAGUUCUGACCCGCACGAAAGGCGUAAUGAUUUGGGCACUGUCUCAACAGCCCGCCCGGCGAAAUUGUAGUACCGGUGAAGAUGCCGGUUACCCGCGACAAGACGGAAAGACCCCAUGGAGCUUUACUGUAGCCUAAUAUUGGGUUUCGAUGUUGCAUGCACAGGAUAGAUGGGACACUGGGAAGCAGGUGCUUUGGCGCUUGUGGAGUGGCCGUUGGGAUACCAUCCUUGCGAUAUUGGAAUUCUAACCUGCGCCUUUGAAUCAAGGCGGGGGACAUUGUUAGGUGGGCAGUUUGACUGGGGCGGUCGCCUCCUAAAGAGUAGCGGAGGCGUUCAAAGGUUGGCUCGUCCUGGACGGAAACCAGGAGAGAGAGUGCAAACGCAAAAGCCAGCCUGACUGCGAGACUGACGGGUCGAGCAGAGACGAAAGUCGGAGUUAGUGAUCCGGUGGUAUGUGAGUGGAAAUGCCAUCGCUCAACGGAUAAAAGUUACCCUGGGGAUAACAGGCUGAUCUCCCCCAAGAGUCCACAUCGACGGGGAGGUUUGGCACCUCGAUGUCGGCUCAUCGCAUCCUGGGGCUGUAUUCGGUCCCAAGGGUUUGGCUGUUCGCCAAUUAAAGCGGUACGCGAGCUGGGUUCAGAACGUCGUGAGACAGUUCGGUCCCUAUCUGUCGUGGGCGCAGGAUAUUUGAAAGGCGCUGUCCCUAGUACGAGAGGACCGGGAUGGACGAACCUCUGGUGCACCAGUUGUCACGCCAGUGGCACAGCUGGGCAGCUAUGUUCGGAUCGGAUAAACGCUGAAAGCAUCUAAGCGUGAAGCCGGCCUUAAGAUAAGAUAUCCCACUGAGAUAAUCAGGUAAGACCCCUUGA